This 1626-nucleotide ribosomal RNA is filed under the name Nitrospirota bacterium. Its description in RNAcentral is "Nitrospirae bacterium (groundwater metagenome) partial 23S ribosomal RNA". It matches the Rfam family "Bacterial large subunit ribosomal RNA", at positions 1311 to 2925 of the family's 2925-position model. Lineage: Bacteria; Pseudomonadati; Nitrospirota. The record is from RNAcentral.
AAGAAGGCUGGUGAAAAACCAGCCCACCGAAAAUUCAAGGUUUCCUGGGCAACGAUGAUCGACUCAGGGUUAGGCGAUCCUAAGCCGAGGCCGAAGGGCGUAGGCGAUGGACAAGCCGUUAAUAUUCGGCUACCAGUUGGAAGGCGUCUGAACGAAGGGGAGACGCAGGAGGGUAGAGCAUCCCCGUGAUGGAUCGGGGUCUAAGCCUUUAGGAGGGCAUGGGAGGCAAAUCCCCUGUGCCGUUAACUCUGAGGGGUGAUGGGGAGUUCCGAAAGGGACACAAACUGCUUGAUCCCAGGCUGCCGAGAAAAACCUCGUAGUGAGCCUUUUAGCUGACCGUACCGCAAACCGACUCUGGUAGGUGGGUGGAAGACACCAAGGCGAUUGAGUGAUCCCUCGCUAAGGAACUCGGCAAAAUAGCCCCGUAACUUCGGGAGAAGGGGUGUCCCGAUGAAUAAUCGGGAUCGCAGUGAAGAGGCUCUGGCGACUGUUUACCAAAAACACAGGUGCCUGCGAACUUGAAAGAGGAUGUAUAGGCACUGACGCCUGCCCGGUGCCGGAAGGUUAAGGAGAGGUGUUAUUUCCCGACUUGUCGGGAGAGAAGCAGCGAACCGAAGCCCCGGUAAACGGCGGCCGUAACUAUAACGGUCCUAAGGUAGCGAAAUUCCUUGUCGGGUAAGUUCCGACCUGCACGAAUGGCGUAACGACUGGAGCGCUGUCUCGGCGAGGGGCUCAGCGAAAUUGUAGUACCGGUGAAGAUGCCGGUUACCCGCGACUAGACGGAAAGACCCUGUGAACCUUUACUAUAGCUUGGCAAUGGACUUUGGUGUGUGAUGUGUAGGAUAGGUGGGAGGCUAUGAAGUGGGGGCGCUAGCUCUCAUGGAGCCGACGUUGAAAUACCACCCUUCUUAGACUGGAGUUCUAAUCCUCAUCCAUUAGGCUGGAGGGGAGACAUUGCCUGGUGGGUAGUUUGACUGGGGCGGUCGCCUCCUAAAGGGUAACGGAGGCGCCCAAAGGUUCCCUCAGGCUGGUCGGAAAUCAGCCGUUGAGUGCAAAGGCAUAAGGGGGCUUGACUGUGAGAGAGACAUCUCGAGCAGGUGGGAAACCAGGGCUUAGUGAUCCGGUGGCACUGUGUGGAAGGGCCAUCGCUCAUCGGAUAAAAGGUACUCCGGGGAUAACAGGCUUAUCGCGCCCAAGAGUUCAUAUCGACGGCGCGGUUUGGCACCUCGAUGUCGGCUCAUCGCAUCCUGGGGCUGAAGUAGGUCCCAAGGGUUUGGCUGUUCGCCAAUUAAAGCGGUACGAGAGCUGGGUUCAGAACGUCGUGAGACAGUUUGGUCCCUAUCUGUCGUGGGCGUAGGAUUUUUGAGGGGAGCUGUCCCUAGUACGAGAGGACCGGGAUGGACGGACCUCUAGUGUGUGAGUUGUCCCGCCAGGGGCAACGCUCAGUAGCUAUGUCCGGAAGGGAUAACCGCUGAAGGCAUCUAAGCGGGAAGCCCACCCCAAGAUUAGAGAUCCCGUCAGCAAUGACCUGAAGGCCACCUGAAGACUACAGGUUUGAUAGGCUGGAAGUGUAAGGUCGGUAACGACUUCAGCUAACCAGUACUAAUCGGCCGUGCGGCUUGACCC